AACGAACGCUGGCGGCAUGCCUAACACAUGCAAGUCGAACGAGACCUUCGGGUCUAGUGGCGCACGGGUGCGUAACGCGUGGGAACCUGCCUUUAGGUUCGGAAUAACAGUGAGAAAUUACUGCUAAUACCGGAUGAUGUCUUCGGACCAAAGAUUUAUCGCCUUUAGAUGGGCCCGCGUUGGAUUAGCUAGUUGGUGGGGUAAAGGCCUACCAAGGCGACGAUCCAUAGCUGGUCUGAGAGGAUGAUCAGCCACACUGGGACUGAGACACGGCCCAGACUCCUACGGGAGGCAGCAGUGGGGAAUCUUAGACAAUGGGGGAAACCCUGAUCUAGCCAUGCCGCGUGAUCGAUGAAGGCCUUAGGGUUGUAAAGAUCUUUCAGUGGGGAAGAUAAUGACUGUACCCACAGAAGAAGCCCCGGCUAACUCCGUG
RNAcentral lists this ribosomal RNA (433 nucleotides) under uncultured bacterium. Its description in RNAcentral is "bacterial SSU rRNA". It matches the Rfam family "Bacterial small subunit ribosomal RNA", at positions 29 to 507 of the family's 1533-position model. The record is from RNAcentral.